AACGAACGCUGGCGGCAUGCCUAACACAUGCAAGUCGAACGAGACCUUCGGGUCUAGUGGCGCACGGGUGCGUAACGCGUGGGAACCUGCCCUUAGGUUCGGAAUAACUCCCCGAAAGGGGUGCUAAUACCGGUUAAUGUCUUAGGACCAAAGAGUUAUCGCCAUUGGAUGGGGCCGCGUUGGAUUAGCUAGUUGGUAGGGUAAAAGCCUACCAAGGCGACGAUCCAUAGCUGGUCGGAGAGGAUGAUCCGCCACACUUGGGAUGCGACCCGGCCCAGUACGCGAGGGGGCGGAGGAGUAGGGUACACUAGGGACUGGGGCCAAACCCGGUCCAGCAACGCCGGGGUAGUCGUCCAGGGCUUUGGGUUGUAAAGCUCUCUUUCACGGGAUGAUAAUGACAGUACCGGGAGAAUAAGCUCCGGCUAACUCCGUG
This 433-nucleotide ribosomal RNA is filed under the name uncultured bacterium. RNAcentral describes it as "partial 16S ribosomal RNA". It matches the Rfam family "Bacterial small subunit ribosomal RNA", at positions 29 to 507 of the family's 1533-position model. The record is from RNAcentral.